RNAcentral lists this transfer RNA (73 nucleotides) under Xenopus tropicalis (tropical clawed frog). RNAcentral describes it as "tRNA-Val (AAC) (tRNA-Val-AAC-12-1)". It matches the Rfam family "tRNA". From Rfam's summary of the family: Transfer RNA (tRNA) molecules are approximately 80 nucleotides in length. The record is from Rfam by way of RNAcentral. Lineage: Eukaryota; Metazoa; Chordata; Amphibia; Anura; Pipidae.
GUUUCUGUAGUGUAGUGGUUAUCACGUUCGCCUAACCCGCGAAAGGUCCCCGGUUCGAAACCGGGCAGAAACA